RNAcentral lists this ribosomal RNA (253 nucleotides) under uncultured bacterium. RNAcentral describes it as "partial 16S ribosomal RNA". It matches the Rfam family "Bacterial small subunit ribosomal RNA", at positions 524 to 776 of the family's 1533-position model. The record is from RNAcentral.
UACAGAGGUGGCGAGCGUUGUUCGGAUUUACUGGGCGUAAAGGGUGCGUAGGUGGCUCGGUGUGUCGGGCGUGAAAUUCCACUGCUCAACGGUGGAACGCCGUCCGAAACUGCUGGGCUAGAGUGCAGGAGAGGAGAGCGGAAUUCUUGGUGUAGCGGUGGAAUGCGUUGAUAUCAAGAGGAACACCAGUGGCGUAGGCGGCUCUCUGGAAUGCUACUGACACUGAGGCACGAAAGCGUGGGGAGCAAACAGG